GAUGAACGCUGGCGGCGUGCCUAAUACAUGCAGGUCGAGCGAACAGACGAGGAGCUUGCUCCUCUGACGUUAGCGGCGGACGGGUGAGUAACACGUGGAUAACCUACCUAUAAGACUGGGAUAACUUCGGGAAACCGGAGCUAAUACCGGAUAAUAUAUUGAACCGCAUGGUUCAAUAGUGAAAGACGGUUUUGCUGUCACUUAUAGAUGGAUCCGCGCCGCAUUAGCUAGUUGGUAAGGUAACGGCUUACCAAGGCAACGAUGCGUAGCCGACCUGAGAGGGUGAUCGGCCACACUGGAACUGAGACACGGUCCAGACUCCUACGGGAGGCAGCAGUAGGGAAUCUUCCGCAAUGGGCGAAAGCCUGACGGAGCAACGCCGCGUGAGUGAUGAAGGUCUUCGGAUCGUAAAACUCUGUUAUUAGGGAAGAACAAAUGUGUAAGUAACUAUGCACGUCUUGACAGUACCUAAUCAGAAAGCCACGGCUAACUACGUG
Molecule: ribosomal RNA, 497 nt
Filed under: uncultured bacterium
Lineage: Bacteria
Description: partial 16S ribosomal RNA
Rfam family: Bacterial small subunit ribosomal RNA
Source: RNAcentral